Molecule: ribosomal RNA, 301 nt
Filed under: uncultured bacterium
Lineage: Bacteria
Description: partial 16S ribosomal RNA
Rfam family: Bacterial small subunit ribosomal RNA
Source: RNAcentral
CAGUCGCCGCGGUAAUACGUAGGUGGCAAGCGUUAUCCGGAAUUAUUGGGCGUAAAGCGCGCGUAGGCGGUUUUUUAAGUCUGAUGUGAAAGCCCACGGCUCAACCGUGGAGGGUCAUUGGAAACUGGAAAACUUGAGUGCAGAAGAGGAAAGUGGAAUUCCAUGUGUAGCGGUGAAAUGCGCAGAGAUAUGGAGGAACACCAGUGGCGAAGGCGGCUUUCUGGUCUGCAACUGACGCUGAUGUGCGAAAGCGUGGGGAUCAAACAGGAUUAGAUACCCCGGUAGUCCCUGUCUCUUAUAC